UCACGUGAUGAACGAACGACUCAAACCCGAAGACUCGAGAGAUGAACUAAUCAAUUCUGUUUCUGGCUCAGACUGCAUACUAGGUUAAGCUUAUGGGGCUGUCACGUGAUGAACGAACAACUCAAACCCGAAGACUCGAGAGAUGAACUAAUCAAUUCUGUUUCCGGCUCAGACUGCAUACUAGGUUAAGCUUAUGGGGCUGUCACGUGAUGAACGAACAACUCGAACCCGAAGACUCGAGAGAUGAACUAAUCAAUUCUGUUUCCAGCUCAGGCUGAGUUGGUUAAGCUUAUGGGGCUGUCACGUGAUGAACGAACAACUCGAACCCGAAGACUCGAGAGAUGAACUAAUCAAUUCUGUUUCCAGCUCAGGCUGAGUUGGUUAAGUUUAUGGGGCUGUCAUGUGAUGAACGAACGACUCAAACCCGAAGACUCGAGAGAUGAACUAAUCAAUUCUGUUUCCGGCUCAGACUGCAUACUAGGUUAAGCUUAUGGGGUUGUCACGUGAUGAACGAACGACUCGAACCCGAAGACUCAAGAGAUGAACUAAUCAAUUCUGUUUCCGGCUCAGACUGAGUUGGUUGAGCUUAUGGGGCUGUCACAUGAUGAAUGAACGACUCGAAAAACCCGAAGACUCGAAACAGGUGAAUCAAUAAUUCCAAUACAGAAACUAUAGGAAGUUGCGCAAAUGCGCAUGCGCGACUGAACAAAUCACUCCCAUGAGACGACUCGUUCUUCCAGAGUCACAUUAAAGAUUCGUUCAAAAUGAACGAAUCAUUCAAGAAUGACCCAUCAUU
This is a long non-coding RNA of Erpetoichthys calabaricus (reedfish), 796 nucleotides long. RefSeq lists it as uncharacterized. NCBI's taxonomy places the organism in Eukaryota, Metazoa, Chordata, Cladistia, Polypteriformes, Polypteridae. The record is from RefSeq and is a predicted model, not a curated record. The transcript is spliced from 3 exons.